This 473-nucleotide ribosomal RNA is filed under the name uncultured bacterium. Its description in RNAcentral is "bacterial SSU rRNA". It matches the Rfam family "Bacterial small subunit ribosomal RNA", at positions 28 to 486 of the family's 1533-position model. The record is from RNAcentral.
GAUGAACGCUAGCUACAGGCUUAACACAUGCAAGUCGAGGGGAAACGACAUCGAAAGCUUGCUUUUGAUGGGCGUCGACCGGCGCACGGGUGAGUAACGCGUAUCCAACCUGCCCACCACCUUGGGGAUAACCUUGCGAAAGUAAGACUAAUACCCAAUGAUAUCCCACGAAGGCAUCCGAAUGGGAUUAAAGAUUUAUCGGUGAUGGAUGGGGAUGCGUCUGAUUAGCUUGUUGGCGGGGUAACGGCCCACCAAGGCAACGAUCAGUAGGGGUUCUGAGAGGAAGGUCCCCCCACAUUGGAACUGAGACACGGUCCAAACUCCUACGGGAGGCAGCAGUGAGGAAUAUUGGUCAAUGGGCGAGAGCCUGGAACCAGCCAAGUAGCGUGCAGGAUGACGGCCCUAUGGGUUGUAAACUGCUUUUANAAGGGAUAAAGUGAGUCUCGUGAGACUUUUUGCAUGUACCUUAUGAA